Long non-coding RNA from Gopherus flavomarginatus (Mexican gopher tortoise), 366 nucleotides. RefSeq lists it as uncharacterized. The transcript has 3 exons. The record is from RefSeq and is a predicted model, not a curated record. NCBI's taxonomy places the organism in Eukaryota, Metazoa, Chordata, Testudines, Testudinidae.
UAAAGUAGCCCCGAGUUGGGCCAGCCCCUGCUGCCAGCGCCCCGCCCCCGGCAGCGGGCUGGAACCGGCCCCCAAAAGGCGAAAUCCCGCCUAGCCCUGCUCACCUGCCCUCCGAUCCCGAGCUUCCCCGCAGGGCCGCACUGGCAGGCUCAGCCCCACAAAAAGAGUAUCUCUUACAACCAACCAGUGCCAUCCACCUCAGGCUAAUGCCAUGAGAGACCUGCCAGUUCAAACCCUACAGGCAACUUUAGAAGACUUACAGUUCAUAGCAAGAUGAAGUCUGAAGGAACAGCGAGUCUGGAGUAAAGGGAUUAAUGUUCACAUGUGGUGUCCGUCUCAUAACAGCAUCCCGCUUUUCUGACUUCC